UGGCUGGGGGUGACCUUGGUGUCCCUGGGGGUCUCUGGGUGCAUAAGGGUGGCCCUGGAUACUCGCCAUAGCUCUGGGUGACCUUGCUGGCUCUGGAUGUCUCUCAGAGACACCCUGAAAGUCCUUGUGUAGGAGUGCAUGGUUUUGGGGAGUGGGCAGCUUCUUCUCUGUGGUCACAGUGUGAAAUCUGGUCUCAGGCCUUUCACGGGCCUUCCCUGCAUGUUUGAAGAUGCUGUCUGGCAUCAGGGCUGUCCAGGAGUUGUGGGCUCAGGGUAAUGUCUCCCGUGAGGGGAGGUGGAAGGGACACGUUGCUGAUGGUGGCUCUGUGCUCCACCUGCGUGGGCUCCAUGGCCUCCCCCUUCCCGCUAGGUGUGGGCUUCACGGUCAUCCUCAUCUCACUGUAUGUCGGCUUCUUCUACAACGUCAUCAUCGCCUGGGCGCUGCACUAUCUCUUCUCCUCCUUCACCACGGAGCUCCCCUGGAUCCACUGCAACAACUCCUGGAACGGAAGGGCAAGGUGGGCAUCUGAGUCACUGAAUGGUCUCCGCAGUGCCCUCACCUUAGCAGGUUGUGGCUGACUUUUUAAAAUACCACAAUGGUCCAAUCGUGGACCCACCCACCUUUCCUUUCACGUCCAGAGUUGUGGGUGCCAUCCACCGAGUUGGGCAGGCACAGCACCAGUGUCUAAGCUGCAGGUGGGCUCCUGGCCAUGCCCAGGUGCCACUGUGCACCUGUACUGCUCAUGUUUUGGGAAGGAUACAAAGCAGGCAUUGCUGGUGUGCGUCCAAUCAGGACACCAUCAUCAUGUAGCAUGUGGAUGGGUCCAUGCCUUUCUGAGGGUUAUCAGGGUGCUGCCAUCAUGCAGCAUGUGGAUGAUCCAUGCUGUUCUGAGGGUUGUCAGGGCGCCACCAUCAUGUAGCCUCAGGAUGAGUUUAUGUUGUUCUGAGGGUUAUCAGGGUGCCGCCAUCAUGCAGCUUGUGGAUGAUCCAUGAUGUUCUGAGGGUUAUCAGGAAGCCGCCAUCAUGUAGCCUGUGGUUGAGUCUGUGCUGUUCUGAGGGUUUCAGGGCACUGCCAUCAUGCAGCAGGGCGCACAUGGGAUGGGGGGACACACUCAGGGGGUUGUGAAGCUGGACCCUGAUCAAGGGAGGAUGGAGACCCCGCUAGGGCUGGUGUGAGUGUGGAUAAGUCCAUGCUGUUCUGAGGGUUAUCAGGGCGCCGCGGUCAUGUUGUGUGUGGAUGAGUUCAUGACUUUCUGAGGGUUAUCAGGGUGCCACCAUUAUGCAGCAUGUGGAUGAAUCUGUGCUGUUCCGAGGGUUGUUAGGACGCUGCGGUCAUGUCAUGUGUGGAUGAGGCCGUGCUGUUCCGAGGGCUAUUAGGACGCUGCGGUCAUGUUGUGUGUGGAUGAGUCCGUGCUCUUCUGAGGGCUAUUAGGACGCUGCGGUCAUGUUGUGUGUGGAUGAGUCCGUGCUGUUCCGAGGGCUAUUAGGACGCUGCGGUCAUGCCGUGUGUGGAUGAGUCCGUGCUGUUCUGAGGGCUAUUAGGACGCUGAGGUCAUGCUGUGUGUGGGUGAGUCCGUGCUGUUCUAAGGGUUAUUAGGACACUGUGGUCAUGUUUUG
Molecule: long non-coding RNA, 1616 nt
Filed under: Homo sapiens (human)
Lineage: Eukaryota; Metazoa; Chordata; Mammalia; Primates; Hominidae
Description: non-protein coding lnc-LPCAT1-2:1
Source: RNAcentral